AAGAUCAUACUUCACAGGAUCAUUUCUGUAGUAUAUCUCGACGAGUUUCCCACCAGAAACAAUCCUCCAUUCAACCCGCGAUGACGAGUAAUGACGCUGGCUUCUGAGAGUGAAACAGGUUUCGGGUGUAACUACUUCUGUGGUUCCUGCUCGUAGCUAUUGAGGACCGUUUCCGAUGUUCCCUUGUGGUACACUGGAAGGGAACUAGCGUUUUCAGAGCGGU
This is a small nucleolar RNA of Daphnia carinata, 223 nucleotides long. RefSeq annotates it as small nucleolar RNA U3. The record is from RefSeq and is a predicted model, not a curated record. The transcript has a single exon. Lineage: Eukaryota; Metazoa; Arthropoda; Branchiopoda; Diplostraca; Daphniidae.